This 253-nucleotide ribosomal RNA is filed under the name uncultured bacterium. RNAcentral describes it as "partial 16S ribosomal RNA". It matches the Rfam family "Bacterial small subunit ribosomal RNA", at positions 524 to 776 of the family's 1533-position model. The record is from RNAcentral.
UACGGAGGGGGCAAGCGUUGUCCGGAUUUAUUGGGCGUAAAGAGCGUGUAGGCGGUUAGGUAGGUCCGUUGUGAAAACUCGAGGCUCAACCUCGAGACGCCGAUGGAAACCAUCUGACUAGAGUCCGGAAGAGGAGAGUGGAAUUCCUGGUGUAGCGGUGAAAUGCGCAGAUAUCAGGAAGAACACCCGUGGCUAAGGCGGCUCUCUAGUACGGUACUGACGCUGAGACGCGAAAGCGUGGGGAGCGAACAGG